GGGAGGGCGUUUACCACGGUGUGGUUCAUGACUGGGGUGAAGUCGUAACAAGGUAGCCCUAGGGGAACCUGGGGCUGGAUCACCUCCUUACCUAAAGA
This 98-nucleotide ribosomal RNA is filed under the name Photobacterium kishitanii. Its description in RNAcentral is "partial 16S ribosomal RNA". It matches the Rfam family "Bacterial small subunit ribosomal RNA", at positions 1444 to 1533 of the family's 1533-position model. The record is from RNAcentral. Lineage: Bacteria; Pseudomonadati; Pseudomonadota; Gammaproteobacteria; Vibrionales; Vibrionaceae.